UUCUAUAAAUGUUCCUAGACUACCCGGCCAACCAAGCCAUCCAAAGGGGCACAUUGAUCUGGGUCGUCCAAUCCCGUCCGCACAGUAAGUUCACAGCCCCACUUUUCACAGCAGCCGUUGGAUGCAGUGAUUCCUUUUUACACAUGUGGCUUCUCUGAAUGGAUCAAUGACAGGUAGGACCGAGCUCUUGAGGGGCCGGCAGGCAGAGACAGAGACGCUGCUCGUUUUGGGUCGCUUUCCUUCACGCCCCCACGGGAAGCAGUAAAACCUAGAUCGCGCGAGGCACCCAAUCAGUCGCCUCUCCUGCCCAAUCCCCCGCACGAGCUCUCUCCUCCCCAAUCCCCACAUCUCCUCCUCCCCCGACGGACGUGGCCAGCGGCAGCUCGUGGAGCUCCGUGUUGGUCAGCCGCAGCAGGAGGAGCUCGUGGAGGCGAGCAGCAGCAGGUCGCGCGCCGCGGUGGCGGGCCAGAGGAGGCGCGGCGGCGCCGAGGGUGAUGGCGGCGCACCGUCCGCCUAGGGUUUCUGACUACCGGAGCUUCAGGUGGAGGACGAUGGCGCCGCCACCUCUCCUUGCUGCCGGUUGAGCAGCCGCACUCGUCCGCAGGGGACGCAGGAUGAUGAGCUCGACCUCCACACGUCCCUAGGUCCAUGGCGGCCAGUAGCGGCUUGUCUGCCGCCGCCCUCUCCACCUCAUCCCCGUCCAGAGCAGGUGUUCCUCCCGCUCCACGAGCCCGGCAGAUCUCAGUUGGUGGCUUGUGGGGAAAACACGGGAGGGGGCCGCUCGUCCCCAGAGUCGCCCGUCAUCUCCAUCUCCCUGGACUCCUCCUUCCAGGGAACUCCACCUCCAACAGCUCACCCCGACUCCACAGCGACCGGCAGCAGGGGCGCUCGCCCGAGUCUCCUGGAUUUGCAGGGUCCUAUAUUCUAGAUGCUCAAGAUGGAAUAAUUUUAUCUGCCAAUUUAUUUAACAUCCAGAAGGAGGCCCUUCAUUCUGCAGAAGUAUCCCGUGAGGAAGAUCUGUUGAAGUACUCUUAUGAUCUUAUCUUGUUGGUAUGCAGCUUGUUGUGGUGGAUUAAAUAUAUUGCUUCAACCCAUUUUGCAAAGCUGGAUUUCUGUUAGGAGGGGCGUCUACAGUGUUUCCUUAACAUCAGCUAGGGGAAGAGACCAUGGGAAGCAAGGGGAAAGUUUGGAAGUUGGCACAUUUGAAAGGAGAAGAGAAUAUCGAGAAUCAGACAUAAGAGAUUGGUCAAGAAGAAGAAAUAGAACAAGGUGUUUUCUGUCUUUUUGAACAAUCGAGCUUGUGCCUGCCUUUUGAUGUUAAUAUUUGUGCCAAAUUUUUGAACCCGCUGCAUCGUAAAGAACUACUUUGAAGAAAAUAUGUAAUUGGCUACUUGGUUCUUUGCCUGCGGUUGUUGCUUAUGCGCCCUGCUCCGCCCACCACGGAGCCCCUCACGCAGGGAUAUGGCUCAUUUGUUUUCUCAAGACAAGAAAAGUGCUUUAGUUAUUUUACAGCUAUUUUAAUUGUUGGUGCAAAUGGGGUGCCAUUUGAUGUCUGUUGUCAAUGGAGAUUGACCAUGAUGAUGGCGGCAUAUGAAUGAAGAUGACAAUGCUUUGGAUGAUGCUAAUAAGUACAAUGAUAUGGAGGUGGGCCAAAUUCCUCCCAUGAGCAAGCAGCAUCUCUGAUACUGGUUAAAGUGAGCUUCUCUGUCGUGAUUAUUUCUUCUUCUGAUGUGUUCUUCUCAUUCAGUAUCUUCGUCCCCAUGUAGAUCCACUCCGGUUUUCAACUCAUGCCUCCCCUACUAACCAUGCUAUUUUUGGGUGCUCUACUUACUGCUUAUUCUCUACUCUUUGCCUCCGAGAUAAGGAGAUUGAGGUAGCUAUAACUGAAGAGCUACAGGGCUACUCAAAAACUUGAGUAGGCCAUUGGUUUGAAGGUGGUUUUUGGUUGAGAUAAAAGAGCUCCAAUUACAGUAGACACUUCUUAUGAGAAUCAACCUGGUGAAGGUGUAUAAUUUUUUUCUCCACUCAAUAGACUAGGUAUAAAUUCACUGAGUUUCCAAAUAACCAAAAACUCAUAAUAAAACAGCCACCAUGUAAUCUCCUCUAUAUGAAGAAAAACGAGUAAACCUGCAAAGCAAUGAAUAACACAAGAUGCAAUUCAUAAAGCAAAUCCAGAGAGAGAGAGAGGUGAGGUCAAGAGUGAGGGCAUAUCAUCUUAUUAGAAAUAUGGUGGCUGUUUUUAUACCUAAUGCUCAAUGGCGAAUGCUUAGUUUUAGCUGCAGAACUGAAUGUCAAACUAAUUCUGAUGGGUCCUCUACAGGGUACAAAAAUGUUCAUGUUUAACUAGACAUGGUUACGGAUGCCAAUAAGGCUGGUUCUAUUGUUUUACAGUUGGAAUUGAUCAGCUGGGCUGGUGAUACUGACUGCAUAGUGGCAAUUCCUCUUUCUUACCUCUACACCGUGUAUGUCUCUCCGUCUCUGAUCCCUCCUCAUUUAUUUGAUUACUUAGGUAUGUUACAGAUCACUCGCAAUCAUUUUGGUUACUUACAAGCUGAUGGCACUCAUUUAUUUGAACGCCACGUAGCUUCGAUCCAACAAGUUCGGAACAAGAUUAUCGAAGACGCCUGCUGUUUGGCAUCAACGGGGAGAGUUAAGGCUGCUGACCUGAUCAUUAGACCUAGAGAGCCACACUAACUUGUCUUAGCUGAACAACAUCUGCAGUUUUCUCUUUAGAGUUGGUGCCGUUCCUGAUUGCUAUUUGAGCUCCAUAUUUUUGGGGGAGUUAGUGUGCCCAGACUCUUGGAUCGUUUGUGAUGGUUGAACAAGCUUCUUUUUCCUAUUUUCUACAUGAUCGAAGAGCCAACAUGCCAAUUCAGUUAGCGUUUGCCUUGGAGUUAAACAGAAUCCCACAUAUAUUGCUUCCAGGUGUACCUCAAGUUCAGGUCCUACUGUCCAGCCAUCUGUUGCAAAAACGCUCAUGUACAUGCCUCCUAGAUUCUAAUUUGGCAUAACACCAGUCUACCCUUUCCGCAGACCAGUAUGUAACAUGCCAGCUAUGUUCAGAAAUCCAAGUUGGUAGUGCAUACUACAUUUUGUAAAUUUAGAGCAUCAUGAAUCUUAUCUCAUGAUUCAGUUUCAGCUCUUGGGGCCUACACUGAAGUAUCAAGACCAUGUGAGACUGCUAAAUCUGGAUGUAUUCACUAUUUGUAUGUUUAGCUGUUAAGUUCAGUGUUUCUUUGAACAGUAGGUGCACCGGGCUACAUAUGUUGUACUAUUUGUUAGGGAUUAAAUCUCGUGUACUCUGCUAUAUUUGUGCUACCAAAGAACUCUAUGGUGCAUUGACUUAUGUACAAAUCUGCAGGUACAUCUCUGAAAACAGGAUAGACAAUUAUUCCUGGGAGUUUUACGACUGCUUUGUUGACUCCUGUGUACCCCUCGACUGUUUAUUUGAUUUAGGAGUCAGAAGGCUCCAAGUCAAACCAUAGUAUUGUUAGGAUCAGUUUGAACAUACACAUAACAAGAGGUCUAAGUAGUGCCUGUAUUCCAGUAGCAUGUUUAUUCAGAUUCUACAGAAAAAACCAGAGAUCCAAGUUUAUACAGAGAUGUGUGUGCUUAAUGCCUGUUAUCACGAUUCUGAAGUUUUUC
Molecule: non-coding RNA, 3645 nt
Organism: Lolium perenne
Lineage: Eukaryota; Viridiplantae; Streptophyta; Magnoliopsida; Poales; Poaceae
Source: RefSeq, a predicted model, not a curated record